This 744-nucleotide ribosomal RNA is filed under the name uncultured bacterium. Its description in RNAcentral is "bacterial SSU rRNA". It matches the Rfam family "Bacterial small subunit ribosomal RNA", at positions 8 to 796 of the family's 1533-position model. The record is from RNAcentral.
AGAGUUUGAUCAUGGCUCAGAACGAACGCUGGCGGCAGGCUUAACACAUGCAAGUCGAACGCGUGUAGCAAUACACGAGUGGCGCACGGGUGAGUAACGCGUGGAUAUCUGCCUUUUGGUUCGGAAUAACUCCGGGAAACUGGAGCUAAUACCGGAUGGUUCCUUCGGGAUAAAGAUUUAUCGCCAAAAGAUGAGUCCGCGUACGAUUAGCUAGUUGGUGAGGUAAUGGCUCACCAAGGCGACGAUCGGUAGCUGGUCUGAGAGGAUGAUCAGCCACACUGGAACUGAGACACGGUCCAGACUCCUACGGGAGGCAGCAGUGGGGAAUAUUGGGCAAUGGAGGAAACUCUGACCCAGCCAUGCCGCGUGAAUGAUGAAGGCCUUAGGGUUGUAAAGUUCUUUCGCCGAUGAAGAUAAUGACGGUAGUCGGAGAAGAAGCCCCGGCUAACUUCGUGCCAGCAGCCGCGGUAAUACGAAGGGGGCUAGCGUUGUUCGGAAUUACUGGGCGUAAAGCGAGCGUAGGUUGCUCGAUAAGUCAGUGGUGAAAGCCCAGAGCUCAACUCUGGAACUGCCAUUGAAACUGUCGAGCUGGAAUCUCAGAGGGGGUAGCGGAAUUCCAAAUGUAGGGGUGAAAUCCGUAGAUAUUUGGAGGAACACCGGUGGCGAAGGCGGCUACCUGGAUGAGUAUUGACACUGAGGCUCGAAAGCGUGGGGAUCAAACAGGAUUAGAUACCCUGGUAGUCC